RNAcentral lists this unclassified non-coding RNA (201 nucleotides) under Hevea brasiliensis (rubber tree). The record is from RNAcentral. Lineage: Eukaryota; Viridiplantae; Streptophyta; Magnoliopsida; Malpighiales; Euphorbiaceae.
CGUCAUGUUCGGCUUCUCGCGCGCGGUACGCAACUGGCCGCCAUCUUAGGCAACCGAGCGAAAGAUUGCAAUAUCGACCCCGAUCUAGCGAGAGUUGUUGGCCACCAAAGUCAGAGUUUGAACCAUGUUCCGGGCCGUGCUGGAAAAACGCGCGCCGGCCCCCUUUAUCUUCCCGCCGGCUGGCGCGAAGCUGGCCGUGUG